RNAcentral lists this ribosomal RNA (468 nucleotides) under uncultured bacterium. RNAcentral describes it as "partial 16S ribosomal RNA". It matches the Rfam family "Bacterial small subunit ribosomal RNA", at positions 28 to 507 of the family's 1533-position model. The record is from RNAcentral.
GACGAACGCUGGCGGCGUGCUUAACACAUGCAAGUCGAACGGAAAGGCCCUGCUUUUGUUGGGUGCUCGAGUGGCGAACGGGUGAGUAACACGUGAGUAACCUGCCCUUGACUUUGGGAUAACUUCAGGAAACUGGGGCUAAUACCGGAUAGGAGCUCCUGCUGCAUGGUGGGGGUUGGAAAGUUUCGGCGGUUGGGGAUGGACUCGCGGCUUAUCAGCUUGUUGGUGGGGUAGUGGCUUACCAAGGGUUUGACGGGUAGCCGGCCUGAGAGGGUUACCGGCGACAUUGGGACUGAGAGACGGCCCAGAAGCGUACGGGAGGCAGCGGUGGGGAAUAUUGCACAAUGGGCGGAAGCCUGAGGCAGCAACGCCGGGUGCGGGAUGACGGCCUUCGGGUGAUGAACCGCUGUGGACUGUGACGAAGAGUGAGUGGCGGUAAUGGGUAAAGAAGCACCGGCUAACUACGUG